UAUUUAUUUAUAUUCAAAGCGAUAGCAACGUUUAUGUGAAUAAACUCUUUGUGUUUUGCUUUUUUUUUUUUUUUUUCGACGAGGGUUAUUGCUUGACUGGAUGCCUGUAGUAUAGAUCCACUACUGCUGGCCACUUUUCCCUUUUUUUUCUUUCUUUUUUGACAGGACAGAUAAAGAAUUGAGAGGAGAAGAAAAUAUAAAUGAAGACGAAGAUACACCUGUAAAAUGGCUUCACCAUUUGUGAAGCUUCUCCUCUUCAAGUAGGGGCUGGAGGCUUGAUCCCUGACCCUUGCACAUGCCAAGGUGAGCAUUUAACUGUGUGCACCACCACCAGGCCCCAAAAUCUGUUUUAUGAAGAGUUGUAUCACUGGAACAAAAUAUACACAAAGUUGUAAGUUGUUGCACAGAAAAGUUAAGAAUGACUUGUAAGAUCAGUGUAGAUUAGACAAGUGAUUCUAAUAUGUUCAUCUGACAUUUUUUAAUUUUUUUAUUUAUAGGGGAGGGGCAUGUCCCCUCGUGACUAGAUGGCUCUGGGGCACAGUCAGGAAGUGUGACAUUCAGAAUAACUUCCUGGAGGGCCUGUUCCCUUCUCAGCACCACAUAAAAACAAGAGACCCCUCCUUUCUGCUUUGCACCUGUCAUGAGUGUCACCUUCCUUUGCUGCAUGUCCUUCUGUCUCCUGCAGGCAGGUCUGACGAAUGCUGGCAUCAAUCAGAACCCCAACAUCCUGCUCCUGAGGAAAGGACAGAACAUGACAUUGAAUUGUACCCAGGAUUUGAACCAUGAUGCUAUGUUCUGGUAUCGACAAGACCCAGGACAGGGACUGAGACUGAUCCAUUACUCCCCUGUUUAUGGUUCCACUGACAAAGGAGACGUCCCUGAAGGGUACAGUGUCUCUCGGUCAAAGAAGGAGAUCUUCUCCCUCACAGUGGAGUCUGCUACCCCUUCCCAGACAUCUGUGUACUUAUGUGCCAGCAGUUUAUCCACAGUGCUUCACCACCAUUUCCUCUCUGCACAAAAAGUGAGGUAUUGCAGUAAGACUUCUUGA
Molecule: non-coding RNA, 1048 nt
Organism: Erinaceus europaeus (western European hedgehog)
Lineage: Eukaryota; Metazoa; Chordata; Mammalia; Eulipotyphla; Erinaceidae
Source: the annotation of a RefSeq genome assembly